GCUUGACCCUCUUUACAUCACUGAGUAUGCAUGUAUAACUUGACCCUCUUUACCUCAUUUAGGGAUCAACAACUACUGCAAGAAUGGGCUGGUUCUUCAGCAGUAGCUGACAACAUUUAUUACAAUGGAAGGACAUAAAGCAAAAUCAAUGAAGUGAAAAAGUACAUUAUGAAAUUCAGAGGAAUUCAGGCACAAGCUUCCAAGAGUCCUCUUCCGGUGGAUUCACACAGGACAUGCUCAGAAUUGUGAAGAAUUUUAAGACAGCAUCAGCCGAGCAUUGAACCAAGUACAGGGCCCUGAAGCAUGGGGUCCUUUGCAACUGCCCAGCUUGCACAACGUGAAGCUGGCUCCACACAUAAUGCCCUAAGAGCAAGUUACAGUUUAAAAAAUGAUUCUCGUUUCAUCUUUGCAUGCAAUCACUACCGUUUGGGGGAACUACUACACGUGGAGUUUGAAUAAGACUGCAAAUGGUCCCGCUCAGCCACGGAGGAGGAUGGCACGCAGCAUGGAGUUCAGAGGAUUGACCACAUAAAGAUUUCCUUUUACCCAAUUGUGGAAAUAAACACUUUAAAGGCAACUUUUCAAGAUCGUAGCUAAUGUGUAAAAGAAGAUUGAAACAUACAUCAUCAUUGCAUACUCCUAUAUAACAGUUGGCAUAAGAGGGUCGAGAUUGAGACGCACAGUCAACAACCAUGAAGGCUGAACCCACCCACAAAAAAACAACAGCAAUCAAGACCCAAAUUCAACAGGAGAGCCUACAUAACCCAUACAAGGGUCAUUCCUAGAGCACCCAGCUCAGAAGAUCAAGGAGACCACUCCACUGGGUGCAACAAAAAGGCCACCCCACCAAGACUGGGAAGUGUAGAUGUUUUAUCUUAUACACACCGACCUGCCAAUGCGUCCCAGUGCACCUCACCUGGCCCUGAACUACCAGGCUGCUAAAGUGUUGAGAUAAGAAACAAAUCCCAGAUAAAAGAAAAGGAGGAAUUGCCAAAAAAGGAAGUAAG
Molossus molossus (Pallas's mastiff bat) is the source of this 1007-nucleotide long non-coding RNA. RefSeq lists it as uncharacterized. The record is from RefSeq and is a predicted model, not a curated record. NCBI's taxonomy places the organism in Eukaryota, Metazoa, Chordata, Mammalia, Chiroptera, Molossidae. The transcript is spliced from 5 exons.